This is a non-coding RNA of Physcomitrium patens, 3424 nucleotides long. Lineage: Eukaryota; Viridiplantae; Streptophyta; Bryopsida; Funariales; Funariaceae. The record is from RefSeq and is a predicted model, not a curated record.
AAAGCCAAUCCACGUGGUAGGGAGAUAGAUGUUCAAGUGCUCAAGGGCUUCGAUUCCUCUCAGCCCCUGUUCCUCCCUGGCUGCUGGGGUUGAGUGCACUCCCGGUUUAGGCUGAUUUCCCGUUUGUGCCGAACUUGGCUGCGAUCAGUUUGUCGGAAGACUAGUGAAAGCGGAGCCGUUGUAUCGGGUGAGCGUUGGACAGAUCUCUGGAUGGGGAUUUGGGUGCAGGUAGUGAAACGAGGAAUGAUUACUGACACUUGCAGUAAGGGUGAACCUUUCACCCUAGGCGGUGGGAGAAGUAGAAUACAUGGAUGUGAAUGAGGUAUAGUGGGCGAAGACAUCGGGGAUGAUCGGCAACCAGUUUCAGGUUUGAAGUUAGUCUCCCAGGUUUUCUAUUCAAUUGCAGAGCUUGACUUUUGCUUUGACCAAUGGUACAAAGGAAAAAGUUGUUGCUCUCCUUAAGAUUGGGUUAGAAUUUGAGUGAGAGAACCGAACAUAGAGGACUAAAAUUAUGAUCCCGAUGACAUCCAGUUCUUCUGCUGGCUUCCGUGAGCACGAAGGCGCAGGCGAGGGGGGUAACUGUUGGCCAUCUGUAGCGCCUGGCAUUCCACUCUUCACCUCUGGUGAUGAAGGCACAGGUACCAAGGUGCGGAAGCCCUAUACGAUAACUAAACAGCGAGAGAGGUGGACUGAGGAGGAACAUCAAAGGUUUUUGGAGGCAUUGAAGCUCUAUGGACGAGCUUGGCGCAGGAUUGAGGAACACAUUGGCACGAAGACCGCUGUGCAGAUCCGGUCUCACGCUCAGAAGUUCUUUUCCAGGAAUAGAAAGGGGAUGUCAGUGCAGGGCAAGGGGCCUUUUUCAGGGGUAGCACAGGUAAUAGAUAUCCCUCCACCUCGUCCAAAGAGAAGCCUUCUCACCCAUAUCCUCGCAAAGCUGGCAAAAUAUCUGAGGACGAGUGCCUUUUAGCACCUUCAGGUUAUAUUUCUUCUUCUUCAGGAGGUGGUCCCGCAGCAACUGUUGCGGAGGUCUGUUUGAAGAACAGUGUGUGGGAUCAGGUUGUUACUACAGGGGCUUUUCAUCAGGAUGCAGCCAAAUCGUAUAAUGACGCGGAUGCCACACAUCCCUGGGGUAUCCCAAAGACGGUUAAUUCCACCACCGCGGGUUCACCACCGGCUCGGCCUGCCAAUAUGGCUUCAAAUACAGGAUUGUUACUUAACAACAUUUCGCUAGGCCCAAUUCCUGCUUUUCCAGCCGUGCCUCCAUGGGGUCGGCUUUUUGGUGGAGCGAUGAACCCGGCCAUGAUGAAUCCGCAGGGUAUGGUUAUGCCCUGGGCCAGUGCGCCAAAUGCUCAAGGUCUUGAGAAUGGGGGCGCAGUCUCUGCUAUGGCGGCCACAAUCGCAGCUGCAUCUACCUGGUGGGCUAUGCAUGGAGGUAUGCCGCCUGGUGUGAUGCAUCCCGCUUUGGGUGUCAUGUAUGUAGGGGCUGCUCCUCCAGUUGCCAUCUCUACUCCAUACAUAUUCCCUCAGUGUUCACCUCAAGAGGUGACUUUGGCAGGAGUUCCAUGUGCUGAUGGCAAAGAAGAUCUCACAGUACAUGCUGUGAGUGAGGGCGAGAAUAUCCCAAUUAACGGUAACUCAAGGUCAAGUGCCAUGCGGAGAGCGGAGCGAGCCCAGCUGGUGAAGGAGCUGAAGGCUCGGCGAACGGGCUCAGGAAUUAACUUCCUUUCUGUCUCGUCUGAUAUUUGUGGAUCCACUUCAGGGGGGAGCGGAACGAAUCUCACCACACAGUUAACAGCUGGCGGGUUGACAUCAGAUAGUGCUGUCAAUUCUCUUUCCAAGGGGGGUUCUCUGGAUGCGAGUAAAGUGAAGCAUGGUCUACAUAGCUUUGUUCGGAAAGACAGGGAAGUGCCUGCGGACGGCGGUUCUGCAGAUGAUGGUGAUGAUAAACGGAAGCGAUUACGAGUAAGCAGACCCUCGGAUGACACGAUAAUGCACGAUAAUGAGGGAUAUCCAUCUACCACUAGUUUAGCUCGUGACGCUCCAGGGAGAUUGAAUGCUCACUUGGAGAAAGUUAGGUCCGUCAGCGGCUCCAGCACCCUUCCUGGGAAGUUCACCAAGGUUGGUGCUGAAAGGCUAGUUUAUGAUGAAGAGAACACUCCUACUGACGCCUCUUGUGGAAGUGAUGUUAGUGAAGGUGCAGGAGUUGCUCCGACUGAUGGUGAUGGUAAUGCAUCAGGGGGAGGUCCAAGCUCCAACUCAUCAGCGUGUGGGAAUGCUCUUGGAGGUAAUGAUAGGUCAGGAUCAAGUGAUGGAUCGUCAGAAGGGGAGGGCACCUGUAAGGUUAACAGGCAACGAGAUACAGGGAAGAAUGGAACGAGCUCUUCUGAUCCUGAAGCACAACUCAAGACAGAUGAGGAGGUUGGGAGAGCCACCGGACUUAUCACUUUUAAUGAGUUUCUUCCGGUUUGUAAAGAUGGAGAAAAAUUCGAAAAAUUAGAGAGUUCAUCGCGACUGCCAAGAACAGUGCCUAUCGAUGCAGAGCAGAGAAAGGAAGUCACUGAAAGAGGUCAGAUUGCCUUUCAGGCUCUAUUUAAGCUAGACACUCUACCUCGGACCUUUUCCCCGCCUCCAGGCCUAGUUCUUGGUACAGGAUCGAAGGAGCCUACUAAAAAGGUGGCAUCUGUGCAUAACACGAAUAAAAGCAUGAGCGGUAGCGCGAUUGUAUACGAUACCUCGGAAUCAUGGACUCCACGGCGAAAUCGUAAAGACCAAGAUAGUGCUUUUAAUACAUGGGAGCAUUUAAGAGGUACUUCCAGCGCCUCAAAAGUUGACCGAUGUGACAGUGGCAUAUCCAUUCCAUCUUCCAGACCGACAAAAAGCUUAGAGGAUCUUCAAUCUUCUGAGCGCCGUCGAGGCAAUCGGAAGGUGCGGUCCCGUUCAAUAGCCAACAAUUGGCUCCAAUUGUGGACGGACACAUCGUCUCGUGACAGGGACGAGGAUGCGGACGAAGAGGACGAGGACGACGAGAGUGCCCACUCGGGAGCAGAUGAAGGUUGCAAAAAGCAACAACAUGAAGAGAGCUUCGUUUGUAAGCUUGAUGUGUCUAUUUCAAAUCAGGAUACUGAUCUAAUCUCUAAUAUUAAUGAUCAGGACACAAGCAGCUUCGGUCUAAGUUCAACAGUUACAAGUCGAACAUUAUCCUUGUCCAUAGGUGCUGGUGGUUUGAAGAACGCUGAUUCGAGUGUGUCCGCAAGAACUGAGAAAUAUAGUGGAGUAGGAUUUGUUCCAUAUCAAAGAGUUUCUAUCCAUGUGGAGGCUACUGUAGCGAAGCUUUGAUGAUUGAUGGAUAGUUUUUCCAUCUUCAUUUAGUUUAACACCUUAUUUCUUUUCGUGACUUAUAAAAGUCACAUUUCACAACAUUCUA